This 859-nucleotide ribosomal RNA is filed under the name uncultured bacterium. RNAcentral's name for it is "bacterial SSU rRNA". It matches the Rfam family "Bacterial small subunit ribosomal RNA", at positions 96 to 948 of the family's 1533-position model. The record is from RNAcentral.
CGGCGGACGGGUGAGUAAUGCCUAGGAAUCUGCCUAGUGGUGGGGGAUAACGUUCGGAAACGGACGCUAAUACCGCAUACGUCCUACGGGAGAAAGCGGGGGACCUUCGGGCCUCGCGCCAUUAGAUGAGCCUAGGUCGGAUUAGCUAGUUGGUGAGGUAACGGCUCACCAAGGCGACGAUCCGUAACUGGUCUGAGAGGAUGAUCAGUCACACUGGAACUGAGACACGGUCCAGACACCUACGGGAGGCAGCAGUGGGGAAUAUUGGACAAUGGGCGAAAGCCUGAUCCAGCCAUGCCGCGUGUGUGAAGAAGGUCUUCGGAUUGUAAAGCACUUUAAGUUGGGAGGAAGGGUAGUAACUUAAUACGUUGCUAUUUUGACGUUACCGACAGAAUAAGCACCGGCUAACUCUGUGCCAGCAGCCGCGGUAAUACAGAGGGUGCAAGCGUUAAUCGGAAUUACUGGGCGUAAAGCGCGCGUAGGUGGUUUGUUAAGUUGGAUGUGAAAGCCCCGGGCUCAACCUGGGAACUGCAUCCAAAACUGGCAAGCUAGAGUACGGUAGAGGGUGGUGGAAUUUCCUGUGUAGCGGUGAAAUGCGUAGAUAUAGGAAGGAACACCAGUGGCGAAGGCGACCACCUGGACUGAUACUGACACUGAGGUGCGAAAGCGUGGGGAGCAAACAGGAUUAGAUACCCUGGUAGUCCACGCCGUAAACGAUGUCAACUAGCCGUUGGGAGUCUUGAACUCUUAGUGGCGCAGCUUAACGCAUUAAGUUGACCGCCUGGGGAGUACGGCCGCAAGGGUUAAAACUCAAAUGAAUUGACGGGGGCCCGCACAAGCGGUGGGAGCAUGUGGGUUU